RNAcentral lists this ribosomal RNA (253 nucleotides) under uncultured bacterium. RNAcentral describes it as "partial 16S ribosomal RNA". It matches the Rfam family "Bacterial small subunit ribosomal RNA", at positions 524 to 776 of the family's 1533-position model. The record is from RNAcentral.
UACGUAGGUGACAAGCGUUAUCCGGAUUUAUUGGGCGUAAAGCGCACGCAGGCGGCUGAUUAAGUCUGACGUGAAAUCUCUCGGCUUAACCGGGAGCGGUCGUUGGAAACUAAUUGGCUUGAGGCGAUGAGAGGGGUGUGGAAUUCCCGGUGUAGUGGUGGAAUGCGCAGAUAUCGGGAGGAACAUCAGUGGCGAAGGCGCUCUGCUGGACCAUAACUGACACUCAGGGACGAAAGCUAGGGGAGCGAAUGGG